AUCCGUCUAACGACUCCCAAAUAGGACGAAACACGUGUCCUGGAU
This 45-nucleotide non-coding RNA is filed under the name Schistosoma mansoni. The record is from RNAcentral. Lineage: Eukaryota; Metazoa; Platyhelminthes; Trematoda; Strigeidida; Schistosomatidae.